CAAGAGCGUAUGUAAAAGUUGUUGCAGUUAAAAAGCUCGUAGUUGAACCUUGGGUUUGGUUGGCCGGUCCGCUUUUUUGCGAGUACUGGAUUCAACCGAGCCUUUCCUUCUGGCAAACCAGUCGUUUCGGCGGCUGGCGAACCAGGAUUUUUACUUUGAGAAAAUUAGAGUGUUCAAAGCAGGCAUUAGCUUGAAUAUAUUAGCAUGGAAUAAUAGAAUAGGACGUUAUGGUUCUAUUUUGUUGGUUUCUAGGACCAUCGUAAUGAUUAAUAGGGACGGUCGGGGGCAUCAGUAUUCAGUUGUCAGAGGUGAAAUUCUUGGAUUUACUGAAGACUAACUACUGCGAAAGCAUUUGCCAAGGACGUUUUCAUUAA
RNAcentral lists this ribosomal RNA (374 nucleotides) under uncultured eukaryote. Its description in RNAcentral is "partial 18S ribosomal RNA". It matches the Rfam family "Eukaryotic small subunit ribosomal RNA", at positions 592 to 976 of the family's 1831-position model. The record is from RNAcentral.